AGAGGAGGCCUCAAGCAAGAAGGAAUUUAUCACCCCGUCAACAUCAUCAUCAUCAAGUAUCUUCUAUCAUUCCAGUGUUUUCAAAUCAAUCAGCAACACCAAUUCAACAACAACAACAACAACAUCAAUAUCAAAAUCAACGUCAAUAACAACAACUGCAACAAAGAACAAACACCUACAACAACAACAAUUCCAACAACAAUCAUCACCAGCAACGGAAUUUUGAGAGGAAGAAGGUCUCUUUCGACCCGAUUCCGAUGUCAUAUGCCGAAC
RNAcentral lists this long non-coding RNA (273 nucleotides) under Lathyrus oleraceus (garden pea). RNAcentral describes it as "Pisum sativum (pea) long non-coding RNA (PSAT_LNC013220)". Lineage: Eukaryota; Viridiplantae; Streptophyta; Magnoliopsida; Fabales; Fabaceae. The record is from RNAcentral.